CACACACACGUAACAGAGUCACACACACACACAAAAAAAAAAAAAAAAAAAACAAACUCCAUUAGUAACACACACAAAUAAACAAACCACGGAUCUCAGGCAUAAACUUAUCCGACAACGGUUCUUUUGUGGUUAGGUUGUUGAGUUAUCAUUAUGGCUUUUUUCUCUCCCGGAAUUGGAUUCUUGUAUACUUCAAUCAAUGUGGGAUAGACUAUUUUCAUAAAUAUAUCAAUACAGUUUCUCUAUAAGAUUUGCAAAAAUGAGCGGGUUUUGAUGGAACGAAUGAGAAGCCUAAAAAUUCACGAAGAUCAACCUGAGGAGCAAGAUCCUCAACCAGAGGCAGAAAAGGUGAAGCAAUGUGUGAGCAUGACAGAACUCUUCUUUCUCAAGCCAUGCUUUCGUGCAAAAGAUUUUUUGAUAAUCACGAGAAUUUUGGUUUGAUCAGUUAAGUCGUUCUUGUGAUCUUUGAUUAAGGUUUUUCAACAGUUUGAGCAACUCUGAAACGUGAUGGCUUUGUUAUGGAUUUAGCUGCUAUUUUAUGGACUAGGAAUUGUUGUUGGCAUAGUGUCUUUACACCUGUUUUGUUUUUGAAAGUCCAGGAAUUUUAGGUUAUGAAGGGAAAUGUUUUGACAACACAUGAAAUGUUUGAAAUGUGGUAAUAUGUCACUAUGACAUUCAACA
Long non-coding RNA from Erigeron canadensis, 681 nucleotides. RefSeq lists it as uncharacterized. The transcript has 3 exons. The record is from RefSeq and is a predicted model, not a curated record. NCBI's taxonomy places the organism in Eukaryota, Viridiplantae, Streptophyta, Magnoliopsida, Asterales, Asteraceae.